GAUGAACGCUGGCGGCGUGCCUAAUACAUGCAAGUCGAGCGAACAGACGAGGAGCUUGCUCCUCUGACGUUAGCGGCGGACGGGUGAGUAACACGUGGAUAACCUACCUAUAAGACUGGGAUAACUUCGGGAAACCGGAGCUAAUACCGGAUAAUAUAUUGAACCGCAUGGUUCAAUAGUGAAAGACGGUUUUGCUGUCACUUAUAGAUGGAUCCGCGCCGCAUUAGCUAGUUGGUAAGGUAACGGCUUACCAAGGCAACGAUGCGUAGCCGACCUGAGAGGGUGAUCGGCCACACUGGAACUGGGACACGGUCCAGACUCCUACGGGAGGCAACCGUAGGGAAUAUUUCCGAAUGGGGGAAAGCCUGACCGAGCCACGGCGGGUGAGUGAAGAAGGGCUUCGGAUUGUAAAACCUUUUUAUUAGGGAAGAAAAAAUGUGUAAGUAAACAUGCCAGUUUUGACGGUACCCAAACAGAAAGCCACGGCUAACUUCGUG
RNAcentral lists this ribosomal RNA (497 nucleotides) under uncultured bacterium. Its description in RNAcentral is "partial 16S ribosomal RNA". It matches the Rfam family "Bacterial small subunit ribosomal RNA", at positions 28 to 507 of the family's 1533-position model. The record is from RNAcentral.